This 354-nucleotide ribosomal RNA is filed under the name uncultured Desulfobulbus sp. Its description in RNAcentral is "bacterial SSU rRNA". It matches the Rfam family "Bacterial small subunit ribosomal RNA", at positions 1028 to 1382 of the family's 1533-position model. The record is from RNAcentral. Lineage: Bacteria; Pseudomonadati; Thermodesulfobacteriota; Desulfobulbia; Desulfobulbales; Desulfobulbaceae.
CUGGAGACAGGUGCUGCAUGGCUGUCGUCAGCUCGUGUCGUGAGAUGUUGGGUUAAGUCCCGCAACGAGCGCAACCCUUGCCUUAGUUGCCAGCAGUUCGGCUGGGCACUCUAAAGGGACUGCCGGUGUUAAACCGGAGGAAGGUGGGGAGUGACGUCAAGUCCUCAUGGCCUUUAUGACCAGGGCUACACACGUACUACAAUGGCCGAUACAAAGGGCAGCGACACUGCGAGGUGAAGCCAAUCCCGUAAAAUCGGUCUCAGUCCGGAUUGGAGUCUGCAACUCGACUCCAUGAAGUUGGAAUCGCUAGUAAUCGUGGAUCAGCAUGCCACGGUGAAUACGUUCCCGGGCCUU